AGAGUUUGAUCCUGGCUUAGGACGAACGCUGGCGGUAUGCCUAACACAUGCAAGUCGACGAAAAACGAGGGCUUGCUCUCGUUUUAGUGGCGCACGGGUGAGUAACGCGUGAGUAAUCUGCCUUAAAGUGGGGGAUAACAUUUGGAAACGAAUGCUAAUACCGCGUAAUAUACAGUUUUCGCAUGGAUUUUGUAUUAUAGAUUUAUCGCUUUAAGAUGAGCUCGCGUCCGAUUAGCUUGUUGGCGAGGUAAAUGCUCACCAAGGCGACGAUCGGUAGCCGGGUUGAGAGACUGAACGGCCACAUUGGAACUGAGACACGGUCCAGACUCCUACGGGAGGCAGCAGUGGGGAAUAUUGCACAAUGGGGGAAACCCGUGACGCCAGCAAUACCGCGUGAGGGACGAAGGCUCUAGGGUUGUAAACCUCUGUUUAAAGGGAUGAAUUUCUGACAGUACCUUUAGAGGAAGCUCCGGCUAACUACGUGCCAGCAGCAGC
Molecule: ribosomal RNA, 495 nt
Filed under: uncultured bacterium
Lineage: Bacteria
Description: bacterial SSU rRNA
Rfam family: Bacterial small subunit ribosomal RNA
Source: RNAcentral